This 852-nucleotide long non-coding RNA is filed under the name Bemisia tabaci. RNAcentral's name for it is "lncRNA ENSSSA2NGG001732". Lineage: Eukaryota; Metazoa; Arthropoda; Insecta; Hemiptera; Aleyrodidae. The record is from RNAcentral.
AACCUCUGCAGUUUGUUUACAAUCAACAAUGAAGCUUUAUACUUCGAAAAAUUUAGAUAUGCCAGUGAUAUCGGAGUGAAAACUGUGAAAACAUGCGAAAAUCUACGUUGCACUCAGAAUUUAAGCUGUAUUCAUUUGAAAUGUGUAAAAAUACCAAGCAGGAAUCACUUUUCGACUAAGUUCGGGAUGUCAUAUUAUUUUUCCGCUUCAGUCCUUGGAAUAGAAUCUGUGUUCAUUUCAAAUGUGUGAUAAGGCGAAGCAUGUACCUGUAAGUAAAUAGGUAUGCAGCAGCAUUCCUUAUCUUCCUCUGACUUAGUUUAUCAGUGAUUAUUCGAUGAAAACCUGUGGAAAUCUACCUUGGAAUUAGAAUUUAAUCUGUGCCCUUUUGGAAUGUGUGAAGAGAUGGAGAAGGAAUCAUCUUUGGACCAACAACAAGCUUGCACUACUGCAGAAGUUGAAGGAUUUGUUAGGACCAUCCGAAGCUCUAGCGAUAAUCAGGCCAAAUAUGCGACCCCUUCCUGCUGUUCCCUGCCAAAGUUGCAUAAAAAAAAUAGGAGUCAACAUGAAAAGAAAGGAACAGAGCCAGUGACGAUGCAAUUUUUCUAAAAAUCACUACUUGAUCCUUGAAUUCUUGGAAUUUGUUUAUUCUUGCACGGAGCGAAGAAUGCCUCAUAGUCAUAGUGUGAAAUAUUUUGGAAGACCAUGUGCAAAGAAGGUACAGAUUAUACUUAUUUUUUGGCAUGCUGAAAUAGAUAAGAACAUUUGUGAGAGGCUUCACGGGAAAAAAAAGGUUAAAAAAGUUUUGAUUGGUACGUUUUUUUGUUUUUUUUUCUAAAAAAAAAAAAAAAAAAA